RNAcentral lists this ribosomal RNA (429 nucleotides) under Chloroflexota bacterium. RNAcentral's name for it is "Chloroflexi bacterium partial 16S ribosomal RNA". It matches the Rfam family "Bacterial small subunit ribosomal RNA", at positions 355 to 776 of the family's 1533-position model. The record is from RNAcentral. Lineage: Bacteria; Bacillati; Chloroflexota.
UGGGGAAUAUUGCACAAUGGGCGCAAGCCUGAUGCAGCCAUGCCGCGUGUAUGAAGAAGGCCUUCGGGUUGUAAAGUACUUUCAGCGGGGAGGAAGGGAGUAAAGUUAAUACCUUUGCUCACUGACGUUACCCGCAGAAGAAGCACCGGCUAACUCCGUGCCAGCAGCCGCGGUAAUACGGAGGGUGCAAGCGUUAAUCGGAAUUACUGGGCGUAAAGCGCACGCAGGCGGUUUGUUAAGUCAGAUGUGAAAUCCCCGGGCUCAACCUGGAAACUGCGUCGGAUACUGGCAAGCUUGAGUCUGGAGGAGGGGGGUAGAAUUCCAGGUGUGACGGUAAAAUGCGUAGAAAUCUGGAGAAAUCCCGGUGGCGAAGGCGGCCCCCUGGACGAAGACUGACGCUCAGGUGCGAAAGCGUGGGGAGCAAACAGG